GUCCACGCCUAACGAUGCGAACUGGACGUUGGAGCAAUCAGGCUCUCAGUGUCGAAGCUAACGCGUUAAGUUCGCCGCCUGGGAGUACGGUCGCAAGACUGAACUCAAAGGAAUUGACGGGGCCCGCACAAGCGGUGGAGUAUGUGGUUUAAUUCGAUGCAACGCGAAGAACCUUACCUGGCCUUGACAUCCACGGAAUCCUUUAGAGAUAGAGGAGUGCCUUCGGGAACCGUGAGACAGGUGCUGCAUGGCUGUCGU
RNAcentral lists this ribosomal RNA (258 nucleotides) under uncultured bacterium. RNAcentral describes it as "partial 16S ribosomal RNA". It matches the Rfam family "Bacterial small subunit ribosomal RNA", at positions 793 to 1055 of the family's 1533-position model. The record is from RNAcentral.